This 540-nucleotide ribosomal RNA is filed under the name uncultured bacterium. Its description in RNAcentral is "bacterial SSU rRNA". It matches the Rfam family "Bacterial small subunit ribosomal RNA", at positions 119 to 674 of the family's 1533-position model. The record is from RNAcentral.
GGGUGAUCUGCCUCGUACUUUGGGAUAAGCCUGGGAAACUGGGUCUAAUACCGAAUAUGACCUCUGGAUGCAUGUCUGGUGGUGGAAAGUUUUUCGGUACGAGAUGGGCCCGCGGCCUAUCAGCUUGUUGGUGGGGUAAUGGCCUACCAAGGCGACGACGGGUAGCCGGCCUGAGAGGGCGACCGGCCACACUGGGACUGAGACACGGCCCAGACUCCUACGGGAGGCAGCAGUGGGGAAUAUUGCACAAUGGGCGCAAGCCUGAUGCAGCGACGCCGCGUGAGGGAUGACGGCCUUCGGGUUGUAAACCUCUUUCACCAGGGACGAAGAGUGAUUGACGGUACCUGGAGAAGAAGCACCGGCCAACUACGUGCCAGCAGCCGCGGUAAUACGUAGGGUGCGAGCGUUGUCCGGAAUUACUGGGCGUAAAGAGCUCGUAGGCGGUUUGUCGCGUCGUUCGUGAAAUCUUGAUGCUUAACAUCAAGCGUGCGGGCGAUACGGGCAGACUUGAGUACUACAGGGGAGACUGGAAUUCCUGGU